GAUGAACGCUGGCGGCGUGCCUAAUACAUGCAAGUCGAGCGAACGGACGAGAAUCUUGCUUCUCUGAUGUUAGCGGCGGACGGGUGAGUAACACGUGGAUAACCUACCUAUAAGACUGGGAUAACUUCGGGAAACCGGAGCUAAUACCGGAUAAUAUUUUGAACCGCAUGGUUCAAAAGUGAAAGACGGUCUUGCUGUCACUUAUAGAUGGAUCCGCGCUGCAUUAGCUAGUUGGUAAGGUAACGGCUUACCAAGGCAACGAUGCAUAGCCGACGUGAGAGGGUGAUAGGCCACACUGGAACUGAGACACGGUCAAGACUCCUACGGGAGGCAGCAGUAGGGAAUCUUACGCAAUGGGCGAAAGCCUGACGGAGCAACGCCGCGUGAGUGAUGAAGGUCUUGGGAUCGUAAAACUCUGUUAUUAGGGAAGAACAUAUGUGUAAGUAAAUGUGCACAGCUUGACGGUACCUAAUCAGAAAGCCACGGCUAACUACGUG
This 497-nucleotide ribosomal RNA is filed under the name uncultured bacterium. RNAcentral describes it as "partial 16S ribosomal RNA". It matches the Rfam family "Bacterial small subunit ribosomal RNA", at positions 28 to 507 of the family's 1533-position model. The record is from RNAcentral.